UGGUGGAGUGAUUUGUCUGGUUAAUUCCGUUAACGAACGAGACCUCGACCUACUAAAUAGUAUUGGGCCAUCUCCGGAUGGCGCCUUACUUCUUAGAGGGACUAUCGGUUCGUAGCCGAUGGAAGUUCGAGGCAAUAACA
This 140-nucleotide ribosomal RNA is filed under the name uncultured eukaryote. RNAcentral describes it as "partial 18S ribosomal RNA". It matches the Rfam family "Eukaryotic small subunit ribosomal RNA", at positions 1299 to 1458 of the family's 1831-position model. The record is from RNAcentral.